RNAcentral lists this ribosomal RNA (494 nucleotides) under uncultured bacterium. RNAcentral describes it as "partial 16S ribosomal RNA". It matches the Rfam family "Bacterial small subunit ribosomal RNA", at positions 28 to 507 of the family's 1533-position model. The record is from RNAcentral.
GACGAACGCUGGCGGCGUGCUUAACACAUGCAAGUCGAACGGAAAGGCCUGCUUUCCCUUGUGGAUUGCGGGUACUCGCGUGGCGAACGGGUGAGUAACACGUGAGUGAUCUGCCCCCAACUUGGGUAUAAGCCUGGGAAACUGGGUCUAAUUCCCGAUAGGACUGCAGGGUGGUGCCUGUGGUGGAAAACGAUUUUCUAGUGGUUGGGGAUGAGCUCGCGGCCUAUCAGCUUGUUGGUGGGGUAAUGGCCUACCAAGGCGGCGACGGGUAGCCGGCCUGAGAGGGUGGACGGGCACAUUGGGACUGAGAGACGGCCCAGACUCCUACGGGAGGCAGCAGUGGGGAAUAGUGGACAAUGGGCGGAAGCCUGAUGCAGCGACGCAGCGUGGGGGAUGACGGGCUUCGGGUGGUAAACUCCUUUCGACCGCGAGGAAGCCACCUGGUUGGAAGGGUGGUGACGGUAGUGGUAGAAGAAGCACCGGCUAACUACGUG